AAGACUUUAAGUUAAAAAAACUAUAUACCUUCAAAGUAUAAAAUAUAUAUUUUAAGUCUUA
RNAcentral lists this transfer RNA (61 nucleotides) under Reticulinasus faini. Its description in RNAcentral is "tRNA-Trp". The record is from RNAcentral. Lineage: Eukaryota; Metazoa; Arthropoda; Arachnida; Ixodida; Argasidae. RNAcentral also lists the same sequence under 1 other name.